This 468-nucleotide ribosomal RNA is filed under the name uncultured bacterium. RNAcentral's name for it is "partial 16S ribosomal RNA". It matches the Rfam family "Bacterial small subunit ribosomal RNA", at positions 28 to 507 of the family's 1533-position model. The record is from RNAcentral.
GACGAACGCUGGCGGCGUGCUUAACACAUGCAAGUCGAACGGAAAGGCCCUGCUUUUGUGGGGUGCUCGAGUGGCGAACGGGUGAGUAACACGUGAGUAACCUGCCCUUGACUUUGGGAUAACUUCAGGAAACUGGGGCUAAUACCGGAUAGGAGCUCCUGCUGCAUGGUGGGGGUUGGAAAGUUUCGGCGGCUGGGGAUGGACUCGCGGCUUAUCAGCUUGUUGGUGGGGUAGUGGCUUACCAAGGCUUUGACGGGUAGCCGGCCUGAGAGGUUGACCGGCCACAUUGGGACUGAGAUGCGGCCCAGACUCCUACGGGAGGAAGCAGUGGGGAAUAUUGCACAAUGGGCGGAAGCCUGAUGCAGCAACGCCGCGGGCGGGAUGACGGCCGUCGGGUUGUAAACCGCUUGCGCCUGUGACGAAGCGUGAGUGACGGUAAUGGGUAAAGAAGCACCGGCUAACUACGUG